ACGACUACAGGUGAAUCAUCGAAUCUUUGAACGCACCUUGCACUUUAGGAGUCAAUCCUAAAGUAUACCUGUUUGAGUAUCAUUUACAAUUAUCCAAUUUUAUUGGGAUUUGAGAGUUCCGGGAGUACGCUGCCUGUCUCUUUGAAUGUAGUAGGAUCUGAGGAUAAGCGCGCUUAUUCUUGAUUGAGGUUAUUUACUCUUUGUAGUAAAGCAAUCAUGAAGGAAUAUUUGAAAGCGAUAUCCAUUUUCAAUCAGACCCUUUAAUCGUUAGACACACAUCUGGUAACAGAAAAAGUCAACAUCUGAACAAUUGUGAUCUCAAAUCAGGCAAGACUACCCGCUGAACUUAAGCAUAUCAAUAAGCGGAGG
This 369-nucleotide ribosomal RNA is filed under the name uncultured Agaricales. RNAcentral's name for it is "eukaryotic LSU rRNA". The stretch from base 314 to 369 matches the Rfam family "Eukaryotic large subunit ribosomal RNA", at positions 1 to 56 of the family's 3401-position model. The record is from RNAcentral. Lineage: Eukaryota; Fungi; Basidiomycota; Agaricomycetes; Agaricales.